GGAGGAAUGCCCGAGUGGUUAAAGGGGACGGACUGUAAAUCCGUUGGCUCAGCCUACGUUGGUUCAAAUCCAACUUCCUCCA
RNAcentral lists this transfer RNA (82 nucleotides) under Agrobacterium bohemicum. It matches the Rfam family "tRNA". From Rfam's summary of the family: Transfer RNA (tRNA) molecules are approximately 80 nucleotides in length. Their secondary structure includes four short double-helical elements and three loops (D, anti-codon, and T loops). RNAcentral also lists the same sequence under 1 other name. Lineage: Bacteria; Pseudomonadati; Pseudomonadota; Alphaproteobacteria; Hyphomicrobiales; Rhizobiaceae. The record is from Rfam by way of RNAcentral.